GAUGAAGAACGCAGCGAAAUGCGAUAAGUAAUGUGAAUUGCAGAAUUCAGUGAAUCAUCGAAUCUUUGAACGCACCUUGCGCCCUUUGGCUAUUCCGAAGGGCAUGCCUGUUUGAGUAUCAUGAAAACCUCAACUCUCAUGGCUUGCCAUGAUGAGCUUGGACUCUGGGGGUCUUGCUGGCUUUACGGUCAGCUCCUCUCAAAUAAAUCAGCUUGCCGGUGUUUGGUGGGAUCACAGGUGUGAUAACUAUCUACGCUUGUGGUUUUCCGCCAGGUAACCUUCAGCAAUGGAGGUUCGCUGGAGCUCAUAAAUGUCUCUCCUCAGCGAGGACAGAUUUUGACCGUUUGAUCUCAAAUCAGGUAGGACUACCCGCUGAACUUAAGCAUAUCAAUAAGCGGAGGA
RNAcentral lists this unclassified non-coding RNA (402 nucleotides) under soil metagenome. RNAcentral's name for it is "partial contains 5.8S ribosomal RNA, internal transcribed spacer 2, and large subunit ribosomal RNA". The stretch from base 1 to 121 matches the Rfam family "5.8S ribosomal RNA", at positions 35 to 154 of the family's 154-position model. The record is from RNAcentral.